Molecule: ribosomal RNA, 254 nt
Filed under: uncultured bacterium
Lineage: Bacteria
Description: partial 16S ribosomal RNA
Rfam family: Bacterial small subunit ribosomal RNA
Source: RNAcentral
UACGUAGGGUGCGAGCGUUGUCCGGAAUUAUUGGGCGUAAAGGGCUCGUAGGCGGUGUGUCGCGUCGGCCGUGAAAACCUGUGGCUUAACUAUGGGCUUGCGGUCGAUACGGGCAUCACUGGAGUUCGGCAGGGGAGACUGGAAUUCCUGGUGUAGCGGUGAAAUGCGCAGAUAUCAGGAGGAACACCGGUGGCGAAGGCGGUUCUCUGGGCCUGUACUGACGCUGAGGAACGAAAGCGUGGGGAGCGAACAGG